RNAcentral lists this ribosomal RNA (253 nucleotides) under uncultured bacterium. RNAcentral's name for it is "partial 16S ribosomal RNA". It matches the Rfam family "Bacterial small subunit ribosomal RNA", at positions 524 to 776 of the family's 1533-position model. The record is from RNAcentral.
UACGAAGGGGGCUAGCGUUGUUCGGAAUUACUGGGCGUAAAGCGUGCGCAGGCGGUUUUGUAAGACAGAUGUGAAAUCCCCGGGCUCAACCUGGGAACUGCGUUUGUGACUGCAAGACUCGAGUGCGGCAGAGGGGGGUGGAAUUCCACGUGUAGCAGUGAAAUGCGUAGAGAUGUGGAGGAACACCGAUGGCGAAGGCAGCCCCCUGGGUCGACACUGACGCUCAUGCACGAAAGCGUGGGGAGCAAACAGG